Molecule: ribosomal RNA, 253 nt
Filed under: uncultured bacterium
Lineage: Bacteria
Description: partial 16S ribosomal RNA
Rfam family: Bacterial small subunit ribosomal RNA
Source: RNAcentral
GACGGAGGGUGCAAGCGUUGUUCGGAUUGACUGGGCGUAAAGGGCGUGUAGGCGGUCGGCCAAGUCUGAUGUGAAAGCCCGAGGCUCAGCCUCGGAAGUGCGUCGGAAACUAGUCGGCUGGAGCGCGAUAGAGGAGGGUGGAAUUCCUGGUGUAGCGGUGAAAUGCGUAGAUAUCGGAAGGAACAUCAGUGGCGAAAGCGACUUCCUGGUCCAGCAUCGACGUUCAGGCACGAAAGCGUGGGGAGCAAACAGG